AUGUAAGCUGCAUAAAUAGAUUUCUUUUCUUGGUCACAAGUUUUACUUAUAGCCUCAUAUGGUAAUUUUCUUCAGUGGCUAGUCCUAUGUUUUGUAUUAUAUACGAAAAGGCAUUAUCCAUGGGGCCACCAUGGCAGCCAUGAUUGCCUUCCACAGCACAGUCCAAUAGUCAGACAUAGAGAUUAAGUUGUCAGUUUUGAUUUGGAUGAUCCCUUCUACUGCUGCCACUGCUGAAAAGGCCCAGCAACAUUCUGCAUGCAUAAAAAUCAACCAUAACAGAAAUCUUGUUAGGACAACAAGAAGUGCGGGAGUUGAAAAUAAAAUUUUGAGUUUCAGAUAAUGCGAUCCUCUUACCCUAGUGGUCUUGUUUCCUAAUGGAUGUAAUAUGUUAAGAAUAAUAAGGAAACAAUUCAUUCUAACUGUAAGGAGCCACUGCCAGCACCAGAUUGGGAUCAAUAUGGCAAGACAUAGUCAACGGCACUAUUGCAUAUUUUGCCUCUAUAUAGUUUAUCAUUAUUUUAGGGAUUUGAUAUAGUAGACUUGCCGUGUAUAGAUUCAAUUGCCUUGUACAGGUUCUUCUUGCAUUAUAUAAAAGUCAGUGAACCCUUCCCAACAAUUCAAGUUGAGUGUUUCUCCAUUAUCUCUCUCAAGGUUUUAACAAACCAUUUCAUAAUAGCUCCUUUCUCUCUCCAAUCCAUAGUCAUUGGAAUUCUGGUCAGGUCUUUGUACUUGAAUGUUAUUGUUUCGAGAGAAUUUGUUUGGUUGGAAAUCUUGUUUCCAGCAGGAGAGGAAACGGAUUCUUCAUUUGUUAAGUCUGCAAAUUCAUUGGCACAUAGCUUGAAAGUCUGAUUCCCUUCAUUAUUGAGUUUGUCUAUGUAUUCUAUGUUGUCCUUGAAAUACUUUUCUCUCUGUAUUGUCUAGAUGGUUGCAUCCAUACUGAGCCAUCCAUUGCUCAUGUCUCUCAACAAGGGAAGCUUCAAGCAAUGUGCGGGACAUGGCUUGAGAUAUCAGUCCCCAGAAUAAAUAAUGACUGUGAUAAGUUUGUUUCCGCGUUUUAAAGCCAUUAAUUUACAAGAAGAGGGUUCUUUGGCAAUAACUUUGGAAGAUUGAUAAAUGAAUACACAUGAACUUGAGAGUUCUGGCAAGACAUCAAUCUAUAAAUUUAGUAUUGCUGUCAAUGCAUCCAAGUUGUAUCCAUUAAUUUAUUCCGGAGUGUUCUGGACUGAUGUUGAUGAGUGAUGACUAGCGAUUCUUGCAGUUGUUCUUUCCUAGUUUUUCAUUUUCAAUUCAUGUAGUUGCUCAUAUGUUUGUCAGGUUAUAGGAUUAAUACCCUCUUUUAAGUUCUUAGGUGACUUUAACAGUUAA
Quercus lobata is the source of this 1365-nucleotide long non-coding RNA. RefSeq lists it as uncharacterized. The record is from RefSeq and is a predicted model, not a curated record. Lineage: Eukaryota; Viridiplantae; Streptophyta; Magnoliopsida; Fagales; Fagaceae. The transcript has 2 exons.